UUUAUGAAUGUAUUAUCACUAUUUCCUUGUUUUUGCAUGAUUUAUGAAUGUCUUAGCAUCUCCUUGUCUUUGUUGGACAUCAUCAUUAGCAUUCUGGCAGUUUCUUAGUAUCUCUGAGUCAUUGAUAGGGUGACUGCACUGCACGAGCUUGUUUCUUCUUCACAAUGGACAAGCAUUUUGGUAUUCUCAUAGCACUCGUACUUUUUACCUUGACCUGGAAUUCAUCAAGGUGAGAAUGGUUAGAUUUUUCUGGGUUUUGGGAUUUGGUUUAUGAUUUGAGUUUGUGGGUCGAUUUUCUUCAGUAUGUUUAUCAACCAAUAGUUCUGGAUUUUUAGGAAGUCGUCAAAAUGUAUGGAGUUAUCUUCCCAAUUGAGUUUAUAGUCUCCGUCCCUUCCAGUUAGAGUUUAUAGAUACCUGAUAUUGAAGUAUUGUGAAAAUUUCAAGAUGAUUGGAGUCAUCUUGUGUUCAUGUUGUGUUCAUUUGUAGUUGACUGUAUAGGUUGUCUCAUCUUUUUUGUUAAUUAUCCCAAAGUUUUGAACACUUGCUGGUUGGUAAUAUUAUUGAUCUACAUAAUAUAGCACAGGUGUUUAGAUGUUUCGUGCUACCUUUAAUUGUCCAUUUGUUACUUGGUUGUGAUACUAUAAGCACAGAGGUGAUAAAUUUUGUCGUGGAUCUGUUAUUUUAAGUGAUUGAUGUAUGUGUAUGUAGUUUAAGCCCAGAGGUUCGAUUAAGGAAUAAGUUGGAUCCCAAAUGAACAAUAGAGAUCACGUUUUGUUCUUUUAUAUAGAUUUAUUCAUUGUUUCUUCUUUAUUGUUUUAGAGUAGGGCAUUGUAGGGAACAAUGACGGGAAUUUUUAAUUGAGAAGAAGUGUGUUAAUACUUCUUUGUGGGGACUGGUACAUGUAAUCUUUAGUUUUGUUGAAAGCACAAAAAUCAUGAUGCAGUCAAUGUUUCAAACAGAAAAGUUUCAGUACACUUGGUAUGAAGACUUUGUGUGAGCUCAUAAGUUUGGUUGAUUUCUUUCUUAUGCAUAAUGCAUAGCUGAAAGCUAACAUAUUUUGGUUGCAAUGUGCGAAACCUAUAUGUUUCAAGAACCCUAGUGGAAUGGAAAUCAGAGUAGACAGAUAAAUGCUACGAUUAAUGGAUCUUGUCCUGUAAAGAAAACUAACAAAAUUGGUUUUCUGCUCUUGGUGAAGAAUUUUCAAUACAUUUUGUUUGUCCUUUUAUUUUUGACAGACUCAAGCAUUACUUUUUGGUUGCAUUGCUUUGUGCUUGAACUAAUUGCUUUCUUUUCAAGCAAGUUCCCUUUUUCUGGAACUUAAUUAGUAUCAGAAAUUUGGCCAUAUUCUGUGAAUUUCAUGGAUACCUCUUUAAUCUUUUAAUUGCAUGGUGUUUGAUGUCCACUGCAUGCCAUUAAUGGAUGCAGUAAAACUUCCCUGACAUCAUUCUAGAAAAGGAGUCUUGCUUAUUGUUAAUUGAAGUCUCAUUUGCAGUUUCAUAUUGUCUGCAACUUAAUUUCUUUUGUCUUCCUAUAUGUGGAAAAUUUUUCCAUCGUGAAGCUUAAUUCAAUGGGCAUGGAUAUUUAUUCGUUUAUUUGGGCAUGGAUUCCUAAUUGACUCAUUGUUUUGCUCUUGUCAUGUAUUCUUUUAAAAAAGUGAUUACUGAAUAAGUAAUCCACUAUGCUACUUUUGUAUAUACUUUGCACAGCAAGUAAUGUUUAUGGCCUAUUUUUAUGCUAUUAGGAAGGCCAAAAAUUUCUUCUUUCAUGUUAUUAUUAGGUAUGGCCACCUGAUGGCUUUGGAUUAGUGGAUGAUCGACUAAGCGUAAAGAACCUUAUAUUGUUAAAGGGGGAGAGCCUGAAAAGCUUGUUCGGACACUUUUCAUUGUUGCUAUAUCCAGACAGUCAUAUGUAAUUUUCACGAAUGAGGUGCGCUAUGUUCCUAGAAGCUUAGUUUUGGAUUCAUUUUUGGUAGGCCCUAGCUUCCCUUGUUUCAUCUCAUUGGUUCUGCUAUGGAGACUGAACGAUAUGGAGGAAUGAACGAUAUGGGCUGCUUUAUGAAUUUAAGGACUCCACCCACCCCUAAAUCUCUCAUUUGCACCUAAUUAACAAGGUUAUUCCUAGUCCUUUUUCAUAUGACACAAAGACUAUGCUGGUAUAUGAGAGUGAGUAUUGGGAUGGAAGACGUACAUCAGAACCAUAACCAAGGAUACCUCCUCUGCUGUAAUAAUCCAAAGCUCAAGAAGCAACAUAAAUGAGUUGGAGUAGGAUCUUAGAGCUUAAGAAGCAAGUACUGUGGAUUACCUCCUUUCAGCAUGUGAGCUACCAAGUUUGAUUCAUGGGUCUAGCCAGCAGCUAGAAAUAGCUAGGGAUGCUUUUGAUUCAUGUGUAGGUAGCAGCUAGGAAUGCUUUCUUUUUUGGUAUAUUAUCUAGUAACUUGAAUGUUUGGAUGUUUGAAAAAUGCUACUUGAAUGAUAUGGAUUAGUGUGGUUUUAUAU
This 2495-nucleotide long non-coding RNA is filed under the name Rosa chinensis. RNAcentral's name for it is "sRNA RchiOBHm_Chr7g0193091". The record is from RNAcentral. Lineage: Eukaryota; Viridiplantae; Streptophyta; Magnoliopsida; Rosales; Rosaceae.